Molecule: ribosomal RNA, 444 nt
Filed under: uncultured bacterium
Lineage: Bacteria
Description: bacterial SSU rRNA
Rfam family: Bacterial small subunit ribosomal RNA
Source: RNAcentral
GAUGAACGCUGGCGGCGUGCCUAACACAUGCAAGUCGAGCGAUCUCUUCGGAGAGAGCGGCGGACGGGUGAGUAACGCGUGGGUAACCUACCCUGUACACACGGAUAACAUACCGAAAGGUAUGCUAAUACGGGAUAAUAUAUAAAAGUUGCAUGACUUUUAUAUCAAAGAUUUUUCGGUACAGGAUGGACCCGCGUCUGAUUAGCUUGUUGGCGGGGUAACGGCCCACCAAGGCGACGAUCAGUAGCCGACCUGAGAGGGUGAUCGGCCACAUUGGAACUGAGACACGGUCCAAACUCCUACGGGAGGCAGCAGUGGGGAAUAUUGCACAAUGGGCGCAAGCCUGAUGCAGCAACGCCGCGUGAGCGAUGAAGGCCUUCGGGUCGUAAAGCUCUGUCCUCAAGGAAGAUAAUGACGGUACUGAGAGAAGGCCCCGAWUUUUUC